CGUAGGAUCAGACCUGCGAGUGCUGUUAGGAAUUGGUGGCAUGGAUCAAAGUUACAUUUGGAAGAAAGGAAAUCCUGUUUUACUUAUUUUAGUUCAUGACUUCAAAUGUAUUAUCUUUUUGUGUUUUUCUUUAAUAUAAUUUUUGGUAAUUUUAUAAGAAGAAAAGUUUCAAAUAUAAAUGAAAUUAUUGAAAAAAAGCAUUUGUUUUUGUUUAUGAGAGUUAACACAUUUGCUUAUUGCAGAAAAAUUAAGAAAACAAUGGUUUGUUGCAACAAGCAAGAUCAUUCUAACUCUAUAAAAUCGUGUUUGCUUUCAUAUAUUGUCAUUUUCCCUGUGUUAUUAAAAUUUCUUUGGAGGGCCGGUGGUGGUGGUGGCGCACACCUUUAAUUCCAGCACUUGGGAGGCAGAGACAGGUGGAUUUCUGAGUUCGAGGCCAGCCUGGUCUACAGAGUGAGUUCCAGGACAGCCAGAGAAACCCUGUCUCAAAAAACCAAAAAAAAAAAAAAAUUUUUUUUUCCUUUGGAAAUAGGUGGGUCUGGAGCGCAUAUCUUUUAUUGGAAUUAAAGGCAGGCAGGAGGCAGAGACAGGUAGAUUUUGGUGAAUCUAAGGCUAGCCAGGGCUGUAGAGUGAGAUUCUGCUUCAACAGAGUUCUCUUUGGAGACAUUUUAGACUUUCAUUAUACUCCAUGUAUCGUGGCUAAACAUUCAUAUGCGUAGUUUUUGUACAUUCACUCUGCAAGCAUGGUGAUGGCACAUCUUGUGUAAAGUUUGGCCUGAAUUUUUGAGCCUUUCAGAUGUUUCUAGGUCAGACUCAGCCAUCAGAACAGCUUUUCUGUUUGUGGCUUUGACUUCGAUCGUUGUCCUGCUACUAGCACAGAAUGAAAGCACACUGGGCCCUAUGCCUGCUCGAGUUCUGUCCUUUGAAAAAUGUUCCUUGAACUUACUGGCAUUCGAUAGAUUCUGGGAGAGGGGGACUUAGUUUUCUGUAGUGAAUUGCUCGUUGGUAGGCUGCUGACACCCCAUAACAGGCUCCACUUUCAAGAUUAGCUGUGCAACACAAACUGGACUUGAGGACUUGAUGGGGAAAAGGGUUGGUGAGGGGACUCUCAAUAGUCAAGUGGGGAGGGGUAGGAGAGUAGAGAGGAAGGAGUUAGAGAAGGAGGUGAAUAUGUUCAGAAAACAUUGUAUGAAAUUCACAGUAAAAUAGUGCUAAAACCCACAAAAUUCAGCAUACAAUAUACAAAGUGCAUAGAAAAACAUGGCAUGAAAACUAGAAUCUAAUUUUAGAUCUACUUCUCAAGGAGUGAGGUUCUCAAAAGACGGGAGUUAGAAGGUACGUGCUUAUGUUCCUUCUUGGCCUCAUGCUAUGCCCAUCCCACCCCAAACAUUCUGAUCUCAUGAUGUUUAAAUUCACACUGGCCAGUCUUUAUCAAGAAAGAGGACUACUUCUGAAUUUGACUACUAGUGUCUCUUUAAUUCACUGUCCUUUUGGAAAUUCUUUUCUUCCUUCCUUCCUUCCUUCCUUCCUUCCUUCCUUCUUUCUUUCUUUCUUUCUUUCUUUCUUUCUUUCUUUCUUUCUUUCUUUCUUUCAUAAGAUUUAUUUAUUCUAUGUAAGUCCACUGUAGCUGUUUUCAGACACACCAGAAGAGGGCAUCAGAUCUCAUUAUGGAUGGUUGUGAGCCACCAUGUGGUGGGAUUUGAACUCAGGACCUCUGGAAGAGCAGUCAGUGCUCUUAACCACUGAGCCAUCUCUCCAGCCCCUGUAAAUUAUUUCUAAAAUUAAUAUGUAAGAUGGUACCAGAAUGGCUUUGAAAAUGGCGCAUAUAGCAGCAAAGUAAGAAGGUAUUUCUUUAGUUUCUUCCUCUUACUUCAUUUCAAAAAGUACUCAUUAUAUAAUCCUUGAUGUGUCUGAGUUUAAACAUGCAGUGGCCAUCUUAUGGCUCCAUAUAGAACCUGGCUCACAAAAACCUGGGUUAAAAUUAAUGCUUCUAGAGCCAGCUUUGGCAGUAUAUACCUGUAACCUAACUGCUCAGAAGACUGAAGCAGGGAGUUCAAGAGCAACCUGGCUAAAGAGUGAAUUGAAGGCCGGCCUGAGCAAUUUAGUAUGACUCUGUGUCAAAACUAAAACACAAAUUUUAAAAUAAAAUAAAGCCUCAAUGGCUGAGUGUUUUUCUCCAUUAUUUAUGUUGGUUUAGUUUCCCAAUAAUACAUGCUCACCAAAAAAGUGCUUUCAGGGGUUGGAAAGAUGGCUCAGAGGUUAAGAGCACUUGCUGCUCUUGCAGAGGACUGGUUUGAUUCCCAGCAUCCUUGUUGGGUAGUUCAGGGAUGUAAUGACAGCUCGUGACAACAGCUCCAGUGGAGUCCCCUGCUCUCUUGACCUCUGUAGCUGGGGACAGCUGGACCAAUGACUUAUAAAUUGUUACACCCCACUCUACACGCGCACACACACACAGACACACUUUUGAAGCUAGGUGUGGUGGCACAUACCUUUAAUCUCAGCACUCAGGAGGCAGAGUCAGGACGUUGGCAGGCAGAUCUCUAGAGUUCCAGAACAGCCAGGGCUAUAGAGAAACCCUCUCUC
RNAcentral lists this long non-coding RNA (2580 nucleotides) under Mus musculus (house mouse). RNAcentral's name for it is "long non-coding RNA chr7:130905592-130908172". Lineage: Eukaryota; Metazoa; Chordata; Mammalia; Rodentia; Muridae. The record is from RNAcentral.